RNAcentral lists this ribosomal RNA (252 nucleotides) under uncultured bacterium. RNAcentral's name for it is "partial 16S ribosomal RNA". It matches the Rfam family "Bacterial small subunit ribosomal RNA", at positions 524 to 776 of the family's 1533-position model. The record is from RNAcentral.
UACGGAGGAUGCGAGCGUUAUCCGGAUUUAUUGGGUUUAAAGGGUGCGUAGGCGGAGUGCCAAGUCAGCGGUAAAAAUUCGGGGCUCAACCCCGUCGUGCCGUUGAAACUGGCGCCCUUGAGUGGGCGAGAAGUAUGCGGAAUGCGUGGUGUAGCGGUGCAAUGCAUAGAUAUCACGCAGAACCCCGAUUGCGAAGGCAGCAUACCGGCGCCCGACUGACGCUGAAGCACGAAAGCGUGGGUAUCGAACAGG